AGUGAACGCUGGCGGUAGGCCUAACACAUGCAAGUCGAACGGCAGCACAGUAAGAGCUUGCUCUUACGGGUGGCGAGUGGCGGACGGGUGAGGAAUACAUCGGAAUCUACUUUUUCGUGGGGGAUAACGUAGGGAAACUUACGCUAAUACCGCAUACGACCUACGGGUGAAAGCAGGGGAUCUUCGGCCCUUGCGCGAUUGAAUGAGCCGAUGUCGGAUUAGCUAGUUGGCGGGGUAAAGGCCCACCAAGGCGACGAUCCGUAGCUGGUCUGAGAGGAUGAUCAGCCACACUGGAACUGAGACACGGUCCAGACUCCUACGGGAGGCAGCAGUGGGGAAUAUUGGACAAUGGGCGCAAGCCUGAUCCAGCCAUACCGCGUGGGUGAAGGAGGCCUUCGGGUUGUAAAGCCCUUUUGUUGGGAAAGAAAAGCAGCAGGUUAAUACCCCGCUGUUCUGACGGUACCCAAAGAAUAAGCACCGGCUAACUUCGUG
Molecule: ribosomal RNA, 492 nt
Filed under: uncultured bacterium
Lineage: Bacteria
Description: partial 16S ribosomal RNA
Rfam family: Bacterial small subunit ribosomal RNA
Source: RNAcentral